Molecule: long non-coding RNA, 482 nt
Filed under: Mytilus galloprovincialis (Mediterranean mussel)
Lineage: Eukaryota; Metazoa; Mollusca; Bivalvia; Mytilida; Mytilidae
Source: RNAcentral
GUUUACAUUGGUGAUGUCCUGUCGGCCACUGUACUGUCUUUUUGUAGACAUAUUUGACCUGUGUAGCUCAUAGAAAAAUAUAACUAAACACCUUUUGAUCUGCAAUCGAAUAUAUGUUUUCUGAUCACUCAGUACAUGUAUUAUUCUAUGUUGUGAUCUGACUCUAUUGUUUCUGGUUAAGUUGAUGGUAGGUGCCUAUUAAAACGUUUAAACCUGUUUGUUUGCACUUGGCCUAAGUCAGGAACUUGAUGUUCAGUGGUUGUCGUUUGUUAAUGUGGUUCAUAAGUGUUUCUCGUUUCCCUUUAUAUAUAUAGAUUAGACCGUUGGUUUCUGUAUGAAUGGUUCGAUGUGAAACCAUGCUGUGUGUUUAAGGCUAUACGUUUUUUUUUACAAAUUGUGAAUUGGAUGGAAAGUUGUCUCAUUGUCACUCAUACCACAUCUUCUUAUAUUUAUAUAAGGCCACAAAUUCACUAACAGAUAUA